CAAAUUUGGCAAGGCUGCUGAUCCACUCGUCCUUCUGGGCACCCUGGUAGAUGCUGAUGCCUCCACACAAGGCUGUAACAUCUGGGGUUUUGAUAAAAUCACCCGUGAGAUUAGGAAUUGAAGACCCAGUAUUGUGUAAAGAAGAAGAAAUUGAAGAAGGGUUACAAAGAUUCUUAUUGAAUGUACCCCACAAACCCACUAUGGGAUUGGCGCCGCUUUUCACUCUGCAUCCUUGUAGAAUAAAGCGUAGGGCCAUUUUGG
Molecule: long non-coding RNA, 261 nt
Filed under: Panax ginseng (ginseng)
Lineage: Eukaryota; Viridiplantae; Streptophyta; Magnoliopsida; Apiales; Araliaceae
Description: long non-coding RNA (PGIN_LNC002189)
Source: RNAcentral